CCUACGGGAGGCAGCAGUGAGGAAUAUUGGUCAAUGGACGAGAGUCUGAACCAGCCAAGUAGCGUGAAGGAUGACUGCCCUAUGGGUUGUAAACUUCUUUUAUAAAGGAAUAAAACGAGGCACGUGUGCCGUUUUGCAUGUACUUUAUGAAUAAGGAUCGGCUAACUCCGUGCCAGCAGCCGCGGUAAUACGGAGGAUCCGAGCGUUAUCCGGAUUUAUUGGGUUUAAAGGGAGCGUAGACGGGUUGUUAAGUCAGUUGUGAAAGUUUGCGGCUCAACCGUAAAAUUGCAAUUGAAACUGGCAGUCUUGAGUACAGGUAAGGUAGGCGGAAUUCGUGGUGUAGCGGUGAAAUGCUUAGAUAGCACGAAGAACCCCGAUUGCGAAGGCAGCUUACUGAACUGUGACUGACAUUGAUGCUCGAAAGUGUGGGUAUCAAACAGGAUUAGAUACCCUUGUAGUC
RNAcentral lists this ribosomal RNA (460 nucleotides) under uncultured bacterium. RNAcentral describes it as "partial 16S ribosomal RNA". It matches the Rfam family "Bacterial small subunit ribosomal RNA", at positions 338 to 795 of the family's 1533-position model. The record is from RNAcentral.